Molecule: long non-coding RNA, 871 nt
Organism: Ruditapes philippinarum (Manila clam)
Lineage: Eukaryota; Metazoa; Mollusca; Bivalvia; Venerida; Veneridae
Exons: 3
Source: RefSeq, a predicted model, not a curated record
GACGGUGAGAAAAAUGAAAAUCUACCAGAUACAAUAGUCGAGCAGACAAAUGACAAUUCAGACAUUAACUCAUCUGUAUCUGAGACGACAGUGGAAGAUAACAUUGCAAUGUCAGCCGCUGAUGAAAGAAAUGGCGCAAUAUCAAAGGAAACAACUGACAAAUCAAAGGAAACAACUGACAAAUCAAAGGAAACAACUGACAAAAAGGAUGACCAAAAUUCAAACAAAAAAUCAUCAUCAUCAAUGAAAAUAACAAAAGAUGGUAAAGAUGGACCUUCUUCUGACCCAAACGAGCCAAAAUCAAAAACAUGUAUAGUUUUGUAAUGUGUUGUCUAUACAAAGUGCUUAGACUUUAAAUCUAAUCGUGUACCGGUCACUUGUUUUGAUAUGUGCCAGGUGCAGGAUAAGUCAGUACAUUGUAAUCUAGAAAUUAUAUUAGAUAUAGAAUUUUAUCGAUGACUAACAGUUUAUUGACUAUAAAUAUUUGUCGUUUAUAAUCAAUAGUGGAAUAUGGUGAGGCCUGGUUUAAAUAGAUUUUAUUUAGAUCUACAUUUAGUGUAGCCUAACUUAUAAGUGUUUAGCCAGAAUAUGAUUUCAAAUCAUUUCUUUUCAUCACAAGAACGACCUGAAUUGAACUGAAUUUGUUUUAUUUAUGAAAUUUGUAUACAUUCAUUUUUGGCAAUAAUAAAAAAAGUCUUUGUCAAGGAUUAUCUCUCAUGAGCAAUAAAAAUAGAAUUGAAAAGUGGAAAAUAAAACCAAAACGAUGAGGCAGUAAGGGAAACAACUUUCAACGAGGACGCUGUUUGUUAAUACUUAAAACAAUACGAAGAGUGUCAGAUAAUUUGGGUUUAAACGAAUUUACUCGGCUAUA